GACACCUCACAUCCAAACCAUAAGGAGCAGUGACCACCAGUGGUGUCCCUUCCAUGGCUGUGGCAGGUACAGGUGAUCACAGUGCCUGGCAUCCCCUGGGCAGUGCAUUUGUGAUGUGUGCACCGUCUAAUUGGCUGUGGACUGUGUCUCAAUCCACUUACUUCUACAGGACUACUGGGUGAGCUGGGUUUUCAAAUCACUGAAUGCUCUAAAUGACAAGGAAGUGUCCACCUCUCUAGUUUUCCUAAUAUCACUCAUAUAGUGACUGCUGGCUAAGGCUGGCUGCUGUGGACGGGGCACCUUCUGCCCAGGGUGCCCACUGGCCUUUGGACAGGAGCUCCUUAGAUGCGGGUUAACAGAGGGCUCCAGCUCUGCUGUCUGUGGCCAAAUGAUAGCACCCCACACCUUUUGUCCCUGCGGUCUUGAGAGAGGCUGGCUGUCCCAGGCCAAUCUGCGCAGUAAAGGUGGAACGUGAGAAGAGGAUGGCAGCCCUUUCCUUCCUGUAUCUGGGGUGGGGUGGGCCUCUAAUGCUGGAGCAUAAUGAAGAUGCCCAGGGUCAGGUGGGGUCCCCUGCUGCCCACACACCAGCCAGGCCAGGGUGCUGUCUGUGAAGCUGGGCUGAGGAAAGUCCUUCGGCCUUCA
RNAcentral lists this long non-coding RNA (642 nucleotides) under Marmota monax (woodchuck). Lineage: Eukaryota; Metazoa; Chordata; Mammalia; Rodentia; Sciuridae. The record is from RNAcentral.